Molecule: ribosomal RNA, 490 nt
Filed under: uncultured bacterium
Lineage: Bacteria
Description: partial 16S ribosomal RNA
Rfam family: Bacterial small subunit ribosomal RNA
Source: RNAcentral
GAUGAACGCUGGCGAUAGGCUUAACACAUGCAAGUCGAGGGGCAGCAUGGUCUUAGCUUGCUAAGGCUGAUGGCGACCGGCGCACGGGUGCGUAAAGCGUAUGCACCUUGCCUCACAGAUGGGGAUAACCCGUUGAGAGACGGACUAGUACCGCGUACACUCUAUGUUGGGCGUCCAAUGUAGAGGCAAUGAAUUUCGCUGUGAGAUAGGCAUGCGUGCCAUUAGCUAGUUGGUGAGGUAACGGCUGAUCAAGGCGACGAUGGGUAGGGGAACUGAGAGGGGGAGCCCCCAGAGUGGUACCGGGACACGGACCAGACACAUACGGGACGCAGCAGUAAGGGAGACUGGUGAAUGGACGAGAGCCUGAACCAGCCAAGUCGCGUGAAGGAUGACUGUCUUAGGGAUUGUAAACUUCUGUUAGACGGGAAUAGCAGGAGUCACGGGUGGCUGCCUGAAGGUACCGGAUGAAUAAGCAUCGGCUAACUACGUG